AUUGAACGCUGGCGGCAGGCCUAACACAUGCAAGUCGAGCGGAUGAAGGGAGCUUGCUCCUGGAUUCAGCGGCGGACGGGUGAGUAAUGCCUAGGAAUCUGCCUGGUAGUGGGGGAUAACGUCCGGAAACGGGCGCUAAUACCGCAUACGUCCUGAGGGAGAAAGUGGGGGAUCUUCGGACCUCACGCUAUCAGAUGAGCCUAGGUCGGAUUAGCUAGUUGGUGGGGUAAAGGCCUACCAAGGCGACGAUCCGUAACUGGUCUGAGAGGAUGAUCAGUCACACUGGAACUGAGACACGGUCCUGACUCCGACGGGAGGCAGCAGUGGGGAAUAUUGGACGAUGGGCGGAAGCCUGAUCCAGCCAUGCCGCGUGUGUGAAGAAGGUCUUCGGAUUGUAAAGCACUUUAAGUUGGGAGGAAGGGCAGUAAGUUAAUACCUUGCUGUUUUGACGUUACCAACAGAAUAAGCACCGGCUAACUUCGUG
This 484-nucleotide ribosomal RNA is filed under the name uncultured bacterium. Its description in RNAcentral is "partial 16S ribosomal RNA". It matches the Rfam family "Bacterial small subunit ribosomal RNA", at positions 30 to 507 of the family's 1533-position model. The record is from RNAcentral.